Molecule: transfer RNA, 77 nt
Filed under: Vitreoscilla sp.
Lineage: Bacteria; Pseudomonadati; Pseudomonadota; Betaproteobacteria; Neisseriales; Neisseriaceae
Also listed under: 111 other names
Description: tRNA-Ile
Rfam family: tRNA
About the family: Transfer RNA (tRNA) molecules are approximately 80 nucleotides in length. Their secondary structure includes four short double-helical elements and three loops (D, anti-codon, and T loops).
Source: RNAcentral
GGGCCGUUAGCUCAGUUGGUUAGAGCAGAGGACUCAUAAUCCUUUGGUCGUUGGUUCAAGUCCAACACGGCCUACCA